Molecule: ribosomal RNA, 253 nt
Filed under: uncultured bacterium
Lineage: Bacteria
Description: partial 16S ribosomal RNA
Rfam family: Bacterial small subunit ribosomal RNA
Source: RNAcentral
UACGUAGGGUGCGAGCGUUGUCCGGAAUUAUUGGGCGUAAAGGGCUCGUAGGCGGUUUGUCGCGUCGGGAGUGAAAACUCAGGGCUUAACCCUGAGCCUGCUUCCGAUACGGGCAGACUAGAGGUAUGCAGGGGAGAACGGAAUUCCUGGUGUAGCGGUGAAAUGCGCAGAUAUCAGGAGGAACACCGGUGGCGAAGGCGGUUCUCUGGGCAUUACCUGACGCUGAGGAGCGAAAGCCAGGGGAGCGAACGGG